This 428-nucleotide ribosomal RNA is filed under the name uncultured archaeon. Its description in RNAcentral is "bacterial SSU rRNA". It matches the Rfam family "Archaeal small subunit ribosomal RNA", at positions 474 to 903 of the family's 1478-position model. The record is from RNAcentral.
UACCUGCAGCCCAAGUGGUGAUCCCUAUUAUUGGGCCUAAAACGUCCGUAGCCGGUUCUAUAAAUGCCUGGGUAAAUCGUACGGCUUAACCGUACGAAUUCCGGGUAGACUGUUCAACUUGGGACCGGGAUAGGCUAGAGGUACUCCUGGGGUAGAGGUGAAAUUCUGUAAUCCUAGGGGGACCACCAGUGGCGAAGGCGUCUAGCUAGAACGGGUCUGACGGUGAGGGACGAAGCCUUGGGGAGCAAACGGGAUUAGAUACCCCGGUAGUCCAGGGUGUAAACGCUGCUCGCUUGAUGUUAGUCGGGCUCCGAGCCCAACUAGUGUCGGAGAGAAGUUGUUAAGCGAGCUGCCUGGGAAGUACGGUCGCAAGACUGAAACUUAAAGGAAUUGGCGGGGAGCACCACAAGGCGUGGAGCGUGCGGUUU